RNAcentral lists this ribosomal RNA (415 nucleotides) under Clostridioides difficile. Its description in RNAcentral is "bacterial LSU rRNA". It matches the Rfam family "Bacterial large subunit ribosomal RNA", at positions 1084 to 1505 of the family's 2925-position model. Lineage: Bacteria; Bacillati; Bacillota; Clostridia; Peptostreptococcales; Peptostreptococcaceae. The record is from RNAcentral.
CACAGACAACCAGGAUGUUGGCUUAGAAGCAGCCACUCAUUCAAAGAGUGCGUAAUAGCUCACUGGUCGAGUGAUCCUGCGCCGAAGAUUUCCGGGGCUAAAACUUACUACCGAAGCUACGGCAUCAGUAAUGAUGGGUAGGGGAGCUUCCCAUACGGGUUGAAGCAUGACCGUAAGGACAUGUGGACAGUAUGGGAGUGAGAAUGUUGGCAUGAGUAGCGAGAUGUGGGUGAGAAUCCCACAGGCCGUAAACCCAAGGUUUCCAGGGGGAGGUUCGUCCGCCCUGGGUUAGUCGGGACCUAAGCUGAGGCCGAAAGGCGUAGGUGAUGGACAACAGGUUGAUAUUCCUGUACUACCGAUAACCGUUUGAGAGAAGGGAUGACACAGUAGGAUAAGCUAAGCACCUGUCGCUUAU